This 395-nucleotide ribosomal RNA is filed under the name uncultured bacterium. Its description in RNAcentral is "partial 16S ribosomal RNA". It matches the Rfam family "Bacterial small subunit ribosomal RNA", at positions 523 to 918 of the family's 1533-position model. The record is from RNAcentral.
AUACGUAGGGUGCAAGCGUUAAUCGGAAUUACUGGGCGUAAAGCGUGCGCAGGCGGUUCGGAAAGAAGGAUGUGAAAUCCCGGGGCUCAACCUUGGAACUGCAUUCUUAACUACCGAACUAGAGUAUGUCAGAGGGGGGUAGAAUUCCGCGUGUAGCAGUGAAAUGCGUAGAUAUGCGGAGGAAUACCGAUGGCGAAGGCAGCCCCCUGGGUUAAUACUGACGCUCAUGCACGAAAGCGUGGGUAGCAAACAGGAUUAGAUACCCUGGUAGUCCACGCCCUAAACGAUGUCAACUAGCUGUUGGGCCCUUCGGGGCUUAGUAGCGUAGCUAACGCGUGAAGUUGACCGCCUGGGGAGUACGGUCGCAAGAUUAAAACUCAAAUGAAUUGACGGGG